GUAACUUCGGGAAACCGGAGCUAAUACCGGAUAAUAUAUUGAACCGCAUGGUUCAAUAGUGAAAGACGGUUUUGCUGUCACUUAUAGAUGGAUCCGCGCCGCAUUAGCUAGUUGGUAAGGUAACGGCUUACCAAGGCAACGAUGCGUAGCCGACCUGAGAGGGUGAUCGGCCACACUGGAACUGAGACACGGUCCAG
Molecule: ribosomal RNA, 197 nt
Filed under: uncultured Staphylococcus sp.
Lineage: Bacteria; Bacillati; Bacillota; Bacilli; Caryophanales; Staphylococcaceae
Description: partial 16S ribosomal RNA
Rfam family: Bacterial small subunit ribosomal RNA
Source: RNAcentral